UACAGAGGGGGCAAGCGUUAUUCGGAAUUAUUGGGCGUAAAGGGCGCGUAGGCGGCAUGGCAAGUGGAUGGUGAAAUCCCUCGGCUUAACCGAGGAACUGCCGUCCAAACUGCUUCGCUUGAGACCGGGAGAGGUGAGUGGAAUUCCCAGUGUAGCGGUGAAAUGCGUAGAUAUUGGGAGGAACACCAGUGGCGAAGGCGGCUCACUGGACCGGUACUGACGCUGAAGCGCGAAAGCGUGGGGAGCAAACGGGG
Molecule: ribosomal RNA, 254 nt
Filed under: uncultured bacterium
Lineage: Bacteria
Description: partial 16S ribosomal RNA
Rfam family: Bacterial small subunit ribosomal RNA
Source: RNAcentral